GAUGAACGCUGGCGGCGUGCCUAACACAUGCGAGUCGAGCGAAGCACUUACUUUAGCUUUCUUCGGAAUGACGAAGUUUGUGACUGAGCGGCGGACGGGUGAGUAACGCGUGGGCAACCUGCCCUGUACAGGGGGAUAACAGUUAGAAAUGACUGCUAAUACCGCAUAAGCCCACAGCUUCGCAUGAAGCAGUGGGAAAAACUCCGGUGGUACAGGAUGGGCCCGCGUCUGAUUAGCUAGUUGGUAAGGUAACGGCUUACCAAGGCGACGAUCAGUAGCCGACCUGAGAGGGUGACCGGCCACAUUGGGACUGAGACACGGCCCAAACUCCUACGGGAGGCAGCAGUGGGGAAUAUUGCACAAUGGGGGAAACCCUGAUGCAGCGACGCCGCGUGAGCGAUGAAGUAUUUCGGUAUGUAAAGCCCUAUCAGCAGGGAAGAAAGUGACGGUACCUGACGAAGAAGCCCCGGCUAACUACGUG
Molecule: ribosomal RNA, 481 nt
Filed under: uncultured bacterium
Lineage: Bacteria
Description: partial 16S ribosomal RNA
Rfam family: Bacterial small subunit ribosomal RNA
Source: RNAcentral